GUACUCGAGUGGCGAACGGGUGAGUAACACGUGGGUGAUCUGCCCUGCACUUCGGGAUAAGCCUGGGAAACUGGGUCUAAUACCGGAUAGGAGCCAUUUUUAGUGUGAUGGUUGGAAAGUUUUUUCGGUGUAGGAUGAGCUCGCGGCCUAUCAGCUUGUUGGUGGGGUAAUGGCCUACCGAGGCGGCGACGGGUAGUCGGCCUGAGAGGGUGGACGGCCACAUUGGGACUGAGAUACGGCCCAGACUCCUACGGGAGGCAGCAGUGGGGAAUAUUGCACAAUGGGCGCAAGCCUGAUGCAGCGACGCCGCGUGGGGGAUGACGGCCUUCGGGUUGUAAACUCCUUUCGCUAGGGACGAAGCUUUUUGUGACGGUACCUAGAUAAGAAGCACCGGCUAACUACGUGCCAGCAGCCGCGGUAAUACGUAGGGUGCGAGCGUUGUCCGGAAUUACUGGGCGUAAAGGGCUCGUAGGUGGUUUGUCGCGUCGUCUGUGAAAUUCCGGGGCUUAACUCCGGGCGUGCAGGCGAUACGGGCAUAACUUGAGUACUGUAGGGGUAACUGGAAUUCCUGGUGUAGCGGUGAAAUGCGCAGAUAUCAGGAGGAACACCGAUGGCGAAGGCAGGUUACUGGGCAGUUACUGACGCUGAGGAGCGAAAGCAUGGGUAGCGAACAGGAUUAG
RNAcentral lists this ribosomal RNA (680 nucleotides) under uncultured Actinomycetales bacterium. Its description in RNAcentral is "bacterial SSU rRNA". It matches the Rfam family "Bacterial small subunit ribosomal RNA", at positions 87 to 781 of the family's 1533-position model. The record is from RNAcentral. Lineage: Bacteria; Bacillati; Actinomycetota; Actinomycetes; Actinomycetales.